MicroRNA precursor from Chlorocebus sabaeus (green monkey), 74 nucleotides. Lineage: Eukaryota; Metazoa; Chordata; Mammalia; Primates; Cercopithecidae. The record is from Ensembl.
ACUGCUAAUACCUAAAUGCAGCAUGCCAGUCCUGAGAUGCAGGGACUGGCAUGCUGCAUUUAGAAAUUAGCAGU